RNAcentral lists this small nuclear RNA (103 nucleotides) under Ursus thibetanus thibetanus. The record is from RNAcentral. Lineage: Eukaryota; Metazoa; Chordata; Mammalia; Carnivora; Ursidae.
AUGCUGGCUUCGAUAGCACAUAUACUAAAAUUGGAAUGAUACAGAGAUUAGCAUGGCCUCUCACAAGAAUGGCCUGCAAAUUCGUGAAGCAUUCCAUAACUAA